This 372-nucleotide long non-coding RNA is filed under the name Populus trichocarpa (black cottonwood). Its description in RNAcentral is "long non-coding RNA (PTRI_LNC002216)". The record is from RNAcentral. Lineage: Eukaryota; Viridiplantae; Streptophyta; Magnoliopsida; Malpighiales; Salicaceae.
UGAGACAGAGAAUCAGGAGAAAUUGUGAGGCAUCCCAUAUUGCUUUUUCCAUCUUGGUUCAUCAGCAGAUUCUCUUCGUGAAGUACAUCUUUCUGGUAGGAUUUUCCAGCUGAUUGUCUUGGUAAUGUUUCAUAGCCCACAUUCUCAUUGCAUUUAUAUUGAUAGUACUGCAUCCCUGCUUCCACCUCGGUUUCUUUCUUUGUCUUCUUAGUAGUUUGCUCAGAAGUAAAACUCUUUUCGAGGUCGUUUACAUACCUUUGGCUUUUUGUCCAAUCCAUUGUAAUUUUCAGCCACUUCAAGAUAUCUUGGUUUUGCUAGUUGAGAAAAUUGCGAUCCGCCAACCAAUGAUGUGCAAUUUAAUUUCCAGUCAAC